ACAGGCAAGAAUGACAAGGACUCAAAUGACCUUGGAAGAUCAUGUGCACAUGGCAGAGCUGCUCUCCUGGACCCUCAACGGCCCCAAGGAUCAGAGCUGCCCACAGACUGGGUUAAUUCAGUUUCCAUUUACUCAUGUGCAUGUGGAAGAAAUUUUCCCAGAAGAAAAAAAAAAGAGAAGUGGGAUGAGGAUGACCUUUUUUAAAAGUUUAAAGGCUCAUUGGCUGAUAUCUCAAGAAUGGACUGGGGAAGGAGGAGUGGGGACAUUUACUGUGUUUCAAACUCCUUUCCUCUGAAAAACAUCUAUAAAGAAGACAACCAUGAUGAUGAUGACAAUGAUGGACGGCUCCUGGCAUUUAGAAUUUUGUAAGCAGAACCACUAUAUUUUACCUAAUGCAGAUUACAUUUAGAUUUCUUCAAUUAAAAAGAAAACACAUCUCAGCUGCCUGUGUCUUACAGGGAAAAAUCUGUUGAAUCACACUUGCUGCGUAAAACAGCUGAUACCAUAUGGCCCCCAUGGCUCCUGAGGGGGAAGAGUGUGAGGAACAGGAAAUCCCUGUGAACUGUCCAUGAUGUUUGACAGCUAAAUGCGUAGGUUUUACAUACAAGUUGGUCUCAAAGUGCUUUUAUAUCACUGAAGUUCCUUGUUUUUCUUUCUAAAUCUCUACAUAUUCGUGUUCCUUAUUUUACAAGAUCUACAACCACACAAUACCCUUUUAUUCUCUCUUCUUCAUAUAUAAUAGUAAAAGCACAUUUGUGACUUUUUUAUUCCCAAUGAGAGUGAGAGCUUUACAAAUUUACUUGCUCAAUUCAUUAUUUAUUGACCACCUACUAUGGACCAGGCUUUGUUCUAUAGACACUAGGAAUCUAGUAGUAAAUAAAUCAUAAAUUCCUGUCCUCA
Molecule: long non-coding RNA, 900 nt
Filed under: Sus scrofa (pig)
Lineage: Eukaryota; Metazoa; Chordata; Mammalia; Artiodactyla; Suidae
Description: lncRNA (ENSSSCG00030020432.1)
Source: RNAcentral